GCCAAGUCUAAAUACAACAAGACAGUUCUAUUCUUGAUAAGACAGGGACCACAAAUCUGUUAAGUCCAGACUAGUGUUGACCUCAAGCAUCAUCCCUGCACUGAUCCCUCCAGGAGUCAGCAAGAAAGGUC
Molecule: long non-coding RNA, 131 nt
Filed under: Cricetulus griseus (Chinese hamster)
Lineage: Eukaryota; Metazoa; Chordata; Mammalia; Rodentia; Cricetidae
Description: lncRNA (ENSCGRG00000026673.1)
Source: RNAcentral